Molecule: ribosomal RNA, 730 nt
Filed under: uncultured bacterium
Lineage: Bacteria
Description: bacterial SSU rRNA
Rfam family: Bacterial small subunit ribosomal RNA
Source: RNAcentral
AUUGAACGCUAGCGGGAUGCCUUACACAUGCAAGUCCAACGGCAGCACGGACUUCGGUCUGGUGGCGAGUGGCGAACGGGUGAGUAAUGUAUCGGAACGUGCCUAGUAGCGGGGGAUAACUACGCGAAAGCGUAGCUAAUACCGCAUACGCCCUACGGGGGAAAGCAGGGGAUCGCAAGACCUUGCACUAUUAGAGCGGCCGAUAUCGGAUUAGCUAGUUGGUGGGGUAACGGCUCACCAAGGCGACGAUCCGUAGCUGGUUUGAGAGGACGACCAGCCACACUGGGACUGAGACACGGCCCAGACUCCUACGGGAGGCAGCAGUGGGGAAUUUUGGACAAUGGGGGAAACCCUGAUCCAGCCAUCCCGCGUGUGCGAUGAAGGCCUUCGGGUUGUAAAGCACUUUUGGCAGGAAAGAAACGUCAUGGGUUAAUACCCUGUGAAACUGACGGUACCUGCAGAAUAAGCACCGGCUAACUACGUGCCAGCAGCCGCGGUAAUACGUAGGGUGCAAGCGUUAAUCGGAAUUACUGGGCGUAUAGCGUGCGCAGGCGGUUUCGGAAAGAUAGAUGUGAAAUCCCAGAGCUUUAACUUUGGAACUGCAUUUUUUAACUACCCGAGCUAGAGUGUGUCAGAGGGGAGGUGGAUUUUCCGCGUGUAACCGCGGAAAUGCCGUAGAUUAUGCGGAGGAAUACCCGAUGGUCUAAGGCCCCCUCCCUGGGAUAACCCC